UACGUAGGGUGCAAGCGUUGUCCGGAAUUAUUGGGCGUAAAGAGCUCGUAGGCGGUUUGUCGCGUCGAAUGUGAAAACCCGGGGCUCAACCCCGGGCCUGCAUUCGAUACGGGCAGACUAGAGUUCGGUAGGGGAGUCUGGAAUUCCUGGUGUAGCGGUGAAAUGCGCAGAUAUCGGGAGGAACACCAAUGGCGAAGGCAGCUCGCUGGGACGUUACUGACGCUGAGACGCGAAAGCGUGGGGAGCAAACAGG
RNAcentral lists this ribosomal RNA (253 nucleotides) under uncultured bacterium. RNAcentral describes it as "partial 16S ribosomal RNA". It matches the Rfam family "Bacterial small subunit ribosomal RNA", at positions 524 to 776 of the family's 1533-position model. The record is from RNAcentral.